RNAcentral lists this long non-coding RNA (219 nucleotides) under Manihot esculenta (cassava). RNAcentral describes it as "long non-coding RNA (MESC_LNC002452)". The record is from RNAcentral. Lineage: Eukaryota; Viridiplantae; Streptophyta; Magnoliopsida; Malpighiales; Euphorbiaceae.
GAAUAGUGACUCCCAGCUAGUGAUCAAUCAGGUAACUGGGGUAUAUCAGGCCAGAGGUCCAACCAUGCAGGAUUAUUUAGCAAAGGUAAAAGCCAUAGAAGCCGAACUCAAGGGUCGGGGAACCAUCGUCAAAUACCAAAGAAUACCUCGAGAGAGAAAUGAGGAAGCAGACCUGCUUAGUCGGUUGUCCAAGGAAGAAUUAGAACAGCUCCUUGACGA